Molecule: ribosomal RNA, 253 nt
Filed under: uncultured Blautia sp.
Lineage: Bacteria; Bacillati; Bacillota; Clostridia; Lachnospirales; Lachnospiraceae
Description: partial 16S ribosomal RNA
Rfam family: Bacterial small subunit ribosomal RNA
Source: RNAcentral
UACGUAGGGGGCAAGCGUUAUCCGGAUUUACUGGGUGUAAAGGGAGCGUAGACGGUCCUGCAAGCCAGAUGUGAAAGCCCGGGGCUCAACCCCGGGACUGCAUUUGGAACUGUAAGGCUAGAGUGUCGGAGAGGCAGGCGGAAUUCCUAGUGUAGCGGUGAAAUGCAUAGAUAUCGCGCAGAACCCCGAUUGCGAAGGCAGCCUGCCGGCCCCACACUGACGCUGAGGCACGAAAGCGUGGGUAGCGAACAGG